UUUCCAGAUAUGAGGCUCUUUAACUAAUACGUUUAGGCUUUCAAUUUUAGCACAUAUGGGCAUAUAAUUAGACAUACAUCAGUCAAAAUACUAGUAAAAAUAAUAAUAAUAAUAAAAUAUACAUGUCAUAGACAUCAUAUAUAUAUAUAUAUAUAUAUAUAUAUAUAUAUAUAUAUAUAUAUAUAUAUAUAUAUAUAUAUAUAUAUAUAUAUAUAUAUAAGAAAAACGAUAUAGACAAAAACAAGUAUACGUAUUCCCUGAUGAGUAAAAAUUUACGUAUAAGUGACAAAGUAACCAAUAAAGAAGUUCCCACAAACCCAGUUAUAGAAGUAAAUAAAAGUGUAAUGACACUCUGACUAACACAAACACUUGUCAUGAUUUUCUAUGUAAGAGUCUGAAAGCUCUCAUACAUAAUGCAAAAAAAAUCCUUGUCAAAGAAACAAUUCAAAACUUGAAAUAUCAGACAUUGACAACUUAAGUUCUAAAGUUAAGAAAAAAAGCAGUUGAAACUACAACAAGACUGAAGCAUAUUUCAUUCCACACAGUUAUAUCAUAAAAUAAAACAAAACCGCUUAAGCUACACUAAAUUCAACGCAAAAAAUACAAAGAUAGUGAAAUUUGGAGUUUAACAAUAAACCCUGAACCCUAAAACACAACACCGACACUUCAGCUCGAAAUAAAUCACGUGGUUCGAUUUAGAAAACAAAGCACGCAAAGGUUAAGAUACAGAAAAGCAACAUAUAGAGAAUCAGACUUACUCUGAAGCUUCUUGUCCAUGUACCUGCCGCAUCCCCAAACAAAAGACAAUUGCAGAUCAAUUCGCAGUGAGUGUAGCGAAAAUUGAGAAAAUUAAAACGAAGAAAGUAAAUGAAAUUGAAGAAGAGAAUGGGAGAAACACU
This 899-nucleotide long non-coding RNA is filed under the name Vigna radiata. RNAcentral's name for it is "long non-coding RNA (VRAD_LNC002418)". The record is from RNAcentral. Lineage: Eukaryota; Viridiplantae; Streptophyta; Magnoliopsida; Fabales; Fabaceae.